RNAcentral lists this ribosomal RNA (1373 nucleotides) under uncultured bacterium. RNAcentral's name for it is "bacterial SSU rRNA". It matches the Rfam family "Bacterial small subunit ribosomal RNA", at positions 28 to 1381 of the family's 1533-position model. The record is from RNAcentral.
GAUGAACGCUGGCGGCGUGCCUAAUACAUGCAAGUCGAGCGAACGGACGAGAAGCUUGCUUCUCUGAUGUUAGCGGCGGACGGGUGAGUAACACGUGGAUAACCUACCUAUAAGACUGGGAUAACUUCGGGAAACCGGAGCUAAUACCGGAUAAUAUUUUGAACCGCAUGGUUCAAAGGUGAAAGACGGUCUUGCUGUCACUUAUAGAUGGAUCCGCGCUGCAUUAGCUAGUUGGUAAGGUAACGGCUUACCAAGGCAACGAUGCAUAGCCGACCUGAGAGGGUGAUCGGCCACACUGGAACUGAGACACGGUCCAGACUCCUACGGGAGGCAGCAGUAGGGAAUCUUCCGCAAUGGGCGAAAGCCUGACGGAGCAACGCCGCGUGAGUGAUGAAGGUCUUCGGAUCGUAAAACUCUGUUAUUAGGGAAGAACAUAUGUGUAAGUAACUGUGCACAUCUUGACGGUACCUAAUCAGAAAGCCACGGCUAACUACGUGCCAGCAGCCGCGGUAAUACGUAGGUGGCAAGCGUUAUCCGGAAUUAUUGGGCGUAAAGCGCGCGUAGGCGGUUUUUUAAGUCUGAUGUGAAAGCCCACGGCUCAACCGUGGAGGGUCAUUGGAAACUGGGAAAACUUGAGUGCAGAAGAGGAAAGUGGAAUUCCAUGUGUAGCGGUGAAAUGCGCAGAGAUAUGGAGGAACACCAGUGGCGAAGGCGACUUUCUGGUCUGUAACUGACGCUGAUGUGCGAAAGCGUGGGGAUCAAACAGGAUUAGAUACCCUGGUAGUCCACGCCGUAAACGAUGAGUGCUAAGUGUUAGGGGGUUUCCGCCCCUUAGUGCUGCAGCUAACGCAUUAAGCACUCCGCCUGGGGAGUACGACCGCAAGGUUGAAACUCAAAGGAAUUGACGGGGACCCGCACAAGCGGUGGAGCAUGUGGUUUAAUUCGAAGCAACGCGAAGAACCUUACCAAAUCUUGACAUCCUUUGACAACUCUAGAGAUAGAGCCUUCCCCUUCGGGGGACAAAGUGACAGGUGGUGCAUGGUUGUCGUCAGCUCGUGUCGUGAGAUGUUGGGUUAAGUCCCGCAACGAGCGCAACCCUUAAGCUUAGUUGCCAUCAUUAAGUUGGGCACUCUAAGUUGACUGCCGGUGACAAACCGGAGGAAGGUGGGGAUGACGUCAAAUCAUCAUGCCCCUUAUGAUUUGGGCUACACACGUGCUACAAUGGACAAUACAAAGGGCAGCGAAACCGCGAGGUCAAGCAAAUCCCAUAAAGUUGUUCUCAGUUCGGAUUGUAGUCUGCAACUCGACUACAUGAAGCUGGAAUCGCUAGUAAUCGUAGAUCGGCAUGCUACGGUGAAUACGUUCCCGGGUCU